Molecule: long non-coding RNA, 478 nt
Filed under: Nicotiana benthamiana
Lineage: Eukaryota; Viridiplantae; Streptophyta; Magnoliopsida; Solanales; Solanaceae
Description: long non-coding RNA (NBEN_LNC024682)
Source: RNAcentral
UAAAAGAAACACAAUAUCAAAAAGCAAUACAAAUGAAUCAUAAAUAAGCUGAUACUACACUUCAAACUACUGCUUUUCAUUUCAUUCUUCUACUCCAACUUUACAAACAAUAGAGCUUAAAUGUGCGCCUGCAAAUUGAAAUAGAACCAGAAAAAGUGAGGGUCAGCAAAGUUAGCAGCAGAAAUUAGCCCAGAUUCAGCAAUCAACAGUGAAAAUCCACUCAAUGAAUAGAACAGUAGACCAAUCAGCAAAACCUAAACAGGCUCAGUUCAAUAGCCAAUUUAGUCCAUUUUUACCCCAGAUGUCAAAAAUUGUUCUAGAAAUUGACAACUUCAAGAAUCACAAAGGAAAACUGAAUGAAACAAUGAUUUUUUAAUGAAAUUUUAGCCUAUUUUUUAUUUUUGCAGAAUUUUCUCUUCCAAAGUCUGCCUUGGAUGCCAAGCUAGCAUACCUUUAUAGGCAAAGUUUAGGGCAGCGG